Molecule: transfer RNA, 90 nt
Filed under: Aspergillus bertholletiae
Lineage: Eukaryota; Fungi; Ascomycota; Eurotiomycetes; Eurotiales; Aspergillaceae
Rfam family: tRNA
About the family: Transfer RNA (tRNA) molecules are approximately 80 nucleotides in length. Their secondary structure includes four short double-helical elements and three loops (D, anti-codon, and T loops).
Source: Rfam by way of RNAcentral
CCCCCGAUGGUCUAGUUGGAUAUGGCGCUCGGCUGUAAUGGAAGUAUCUAUGUAACCGAGAGGUCGCCGGCUCGAUUCCGGCUCGGGGGA